RNAcentral lists this ribosomal RNA (253 nucleotides) under uncultured bacterium. RNAcentral describes it as "partial 16S ribosomal RNA". It matches the Rfam family "Bacterial small subunit ribosomal RNA", at positions 524 to 776 of the family's 1533-position model. The record is from RNAcentral.
UACGUAGGGGGCAAGCGUUGUCCGGAAUUAUUGGGCGUAAAGAGCGUGUAGGCGGUCCGGUAAGUCAGCUGUGAAAGUCAAGGGCUCAACCCUUGAAAGCCGGUUGAUACUGUCGGGCUAGAGUCCGGAAGAGGCGAGUGGAAUUCCCGGUGUAGCGGUGAAAUGCGCAGAUAUCGGGAGGAACACCAAUGGCGAAGGCAGCUCGCUGGGACGGUACUGACGCUGAGAAGCGAAAGCAUGGGGAGCGAACAGG